GGAUGUGAGGGCGAUCUGGCUGUGUCAUCUGUCACCCCAUUUAUUGCCAGGGUUGAUUCAGCUGAUCUGGCGGGCUAGGUGGAUGUCCUCUUCCUCCCUCAGCACUCCUCCCAAAGCUGUGUGCUAGGUUGAAGAGGAGAUGUUCCCUGCUAGAGGAGGACUGGUCUUCCAUCAAGGAUAUAGGAGUAGCUGCACUCCCCUGCUAGAACCUCCAAACAAGCUCUCAAGGUCCAUUGCUUAUUUUGAUGUUGAAAUUGUCCCUGAUUUUAUCAGCGGGAACCUCUUGUUUCCAUGC
RNAcentral lists this small nuclear RNA (295 nucleotides) under Oryctolagus cuniculus (rabbit). RNAcentral describes it as "7SK RNA". It matches the Rfam family "7SK RNA". Rfam says of the family: 7SK was discovered as an abundant small nuclear RNA in the mid-70s but a possible function has only recently been suggested. Lineage: Eukaryota; Metazoa; Chordata; Mammalia; Lagomorpha; Leporidae. The record is from Rfam by way of RNAcentral.